This 29-nucleotide non-coding RNA is filed under the name Rattus norvegicus (Norway rat). The record is from RNAcentral. Lineage: Eukaryota; Metazoa; Chordata; Mammalia; Rodentia; Muridae.
UCUUCAGCUCUUGUGAUUAAUUGCCAGAU